GCCAGUCGUAGUGGUGCAUGCCUAUAAUCCCGGGUGGUUGGGAGGCUUAGGCGGGAGGAUCACUUGAGGCCAGCAGUUCUGGGCUGAAGUGCACUUUGCACAUCAGGUGUCGACACUAAGUCUGGCAUCAAUAUGAUAAUCUCCCAUGAGCGGGGGACCACAAGGUUACCUAAGGAGAAGUGAACUAGCUCCUCCACAGAGCAUGGUCCAUAUAAGUCCCGUGCUGAUCCAUGGUGGGAUGGCGCCUGUGAAUAGCCAGUUAUGGCACUCCCGCCAGAACAAUAUAGCAAGACCCUGUCUCA
Unclassified non-coding RNA from Colobus angolensis palliatus, 302 nucleotides. It matches the Rfam family "Metazoan signal recognition particle RNA". From Rfam's summary of the family: The signal recognition particle (SRP) is a universally conserved ribonucleoprotein. It is involved in the co-translational targeting of proteins to membranes. Lineage: Eukaryota; Metazoa; Chordata; Mammalia; Primates; Cercopithecidae. The record is from Ensembl.